AGAACGAACGCUGGCGGCAUGCCUAAUACAUGCAAGUCGAACGAACUCUUCGGAGUUAGUGGCGCACGGGUGCGUAACGCGUGGGAAUCUGCCCCUCGGUUCGGAAUAACAGUUGGAAACGACUGCUAAUACCGGAUGAUGACGAAAGUCCAAAGAUUUAUCGCCAAGGGAUGAGCCCGCGUAGGAUUAGCUAGUUGGUGAGGUAAAGGCUCACCAAGGCAACGAUCC
Molecule: ribosomal RNA, 228 nt
Filed under: uncultured soil bacterium
Lineage: Bacteria
Description: partial 16S ribosomal RNA
Rfam family: Bacterial small subunit ribosomal RNA
Source: RNAcentral